This 305-nucleotide ribosomal RNA is filed under the name uncultured bacterium. RNAcentral describes it as "bacterial SSU rRNA". It matches the Rfam family "Bacterial small subunit ribosomal RNA", at positions 333 to 635 of the family's 1533-position model. The record is from RNAcentral.
GUUUCCCUACGGGGCGCAGCAGUGAGGAAUAUUGGUCAAUGGGCUUACGCCUGAACCAGCCACGUCGCGUGAGGGAAGACUGCCCUAUGGGUCGUAAACCUCUUUUGUCAGGGAGCAACGCCGGCUACGUGUAGCCGGACUGAGAGUACCUGAAGAAAAAGCAUCGGCUAACUCCGUGCCAGCAGCCGCGGUAAUACGGAGGAUGCGAGCGUUAUCCGGAUUUAUUGGGUUUAAAGGGUGCGCAGGCGGCCUGUUAAGUCAGCGGUAAAAGCCCGGGGCUCAACCCCGGCGAGCCGUGAAAACUG